GGGGUUGUGGCUCAAUGGUAGAGCACUCACCUAGCACAUGCGAGGCCCUGGGUUCAAUCCUCAGCCCCA
Molecule: transfer RNA, 69 nt
Filed under: Ictidomys tridecemlineatus (thirteen-lined ground squirrel)
Lineage: Eukaryota; Metazoa; Chordata; Mammalia; Rodentia; Sciuridae
Description: Spermophilus tridecemlineatus (thirteen-lined ground squirrel) tRNA
Rfam family: tRNA
About the family: Transfer RNA (tRNA) molecules are approximately 80 nucleotides in length. Their secondary structure includes four short double-helical elements and three loops (D, anti-codon, and T loops). Further hydrogen bonds mediate the characteristic L-shaped molecular structure. tRNAs have two regions of fundamental functional importance: the anti-codon, which is responsible for specific mRNA codon recognition, and the 3' end, to which the tRNAs corresponding amino acid is attached (by aminoacyl-tRNA synthetases). tRNAs cope with the degeneracy of the genetic code in two manners: having more than one tRNA (with a specific anti-codon) for a particular amino acid; and 'wobble' base-pairing, i.e. permitting non-standard base-pairing at the 3rd anti-codon position.
Source: Rfam by way of RNAcentral